GGUCUUGUAGCUCAAUUGGUUAGAGCGUCGGUCUUAUCAACCACAGGUUGAGGGUUCAACCCCCUCCGAGACCA
Non-coding RNA from Triticum urartu, 74 nucleotides. NCBI's taxonomy places the organism in Eukaryota, Viridiplantae, Streptophyta, Magnoliopsida, Poales, Poaceae. The record is from Rfam.